CGGCGACCAUGCGUUUGGAUGGAACAUGAGCGCCAGAUCGAUUUGUUCAGCCGUGGUAGAUCACUGGCAUCUCAUGGGAAAUCCCGAGAUGGAUACCUUUAUACUCUCAUGAGCCCCCAAAAAGAAGUUCGGACAACUACUUCAAAAUACAAUCAAGGAGGUAGUUGAACCAGCGUCCAACUUGCCGGAUUAUUUUAAUUCAAAAGAUAAUUAGUUGAGGCCUAUUGGAUUCUACAACACCCGCUAACGGAUCCUUCUACUGGAUUGACUUGGGACACGUGGAGGGCAUACAGAUAGGAGGUAACUACCACCG
Molecule: long non-coding RNA, 313 nt
Organism: Triticum dicoccoides
Lineage: Eukaryota; Viridiplantae; Streptophyta; Magnoliopsida; Poales; Poaceae
Exons: 3
Source: RefSeq, a predicted model, not a curated record